NNNGGGGUGGAGCAGCUCGGUAGCUCGCUGGGCUCAUAACCCAGAGGUCGCAGGUUCAAAUCCUGUCCCCGCUAC
Molecule: transfer RNA, 75 nt
Filed under: Streptomyces griseus
Lineage: Bacteria; Bacillati; Actinomycetota; Actinomycetes; Kitasatosporales; Streptomycetaceae
Also listed under: 3 other names
Description: tRNA-Met
Rfam family: tRNA
About the family: Transfer RNA (tRNA) molecules are approximately 80 nucleotides in length. Their secondary structure includes four short double-helical elements and three loops (D, anti-codon, and T loops). Further hydrogen bonds mediate the characteristic L-shaped molecular structure. tRNAs have two regions of fundamental functional importance: the anti-codon, which is responsible for specific mRNA codon recognition, and the 3' end, to which the tRNAs corresponding amino acid is attached (by aminoacyl-tRNA synthetases). tRNAs cope with the degeneracy of the genetic code in two manners: having more than one tRNA (with a specific anti-codon) for a particular amino acid; and 'wobble' base-pairing, i.e. permitting non-standard base-pairing at the 3rd anti-codon position.
Source: RNAcentral